GCCAGUGUGGUGUAAUGGCUUGAGUGUUGGACUAUGACUCUAGAGACUAGGGUUCAAUUCCCAACUCGGGCA
This is a non-coding RNA of Phrynosoma platyrhinos (Desert horned lizard), 72 nucleotides long. The record is from the annotation of a GenBank genome assembly. Lineage: Eukaryota; Metazoa; Chordata; Lepidosauria; Squamata; Phrynosomatidae.